Molecule: microRNA precursor, 97 nt
Filed under: Marmota monax (woodchuck)
Lineage: Eukaryota; Metazoa; Chordata; Mammalia; Rodentia; Sciuridae
Source: RNAcentral
UGUGUGAUUGCUGGGUCAUAUAGUAAGCUUAACUUUAUAAGCAUCUGUCAAAUUACAUUCCAAAGGGACUUUAUUGUUUUGCAUUCCCUCCAGAAAU